GAUGAACGCUAGCUACAGGCUUAACACAUGCAAGUCGAGGGGUGACGAGAGGGAUGCUUGCUUUCCUUGUCGACGACCGGCGCACGGGUGAGUAACGCGUAUCCAACCUGCCCCCAACUAGGGAAUAACCUUGCGAAAGUAAGACUAAUACCCUAUAAUUUCCUCAGAUGUCAUCUGACGAGGAAUAAAGAUUUAUCGGUUGUGGAUGGGGAUGCGGCUGAUUAGCUUGUUGGCGGGGUAACGGCCCACCAAGGCAACGAUCAGUAGGGGUUUUGAGAGGAAGGUCCCCCACAUUGGAACUGAGACACGGUCCAAACUCCUACGGGAGGCAGCAGUGAGGAAUAUUGGUCAAUGGGCGGAAGCCUGAACCAGCCAAGUAGCGUGCAGGAUGACGGCCCUAUGGGUUGUAAACUGCUUUUAUACAGGAAUAAAGUUAGCCACGUGUGGUUAUUUGUAGGUACUGUAUGAAUAAGGACCGGCUAAUUCCGUGCCAGCCGCCGCCGUAA
RNAcentral lists this ribosomal RNA (506 nucleotides) under uncultured bacterium. RNAcentral's name for it is "partial 16S ribosomal RNA". It matches the Rfam family "Bacterial small subunit ribosomal RNA", at positions 28 to 523 of the family's 1533-position model. The record is from RNAcentral.